Molecule: ribosomal RNA, 1260 nt
Filed under: Rhynocoris fuscipes
Lineage: Eukaryota; Metazoa; Arthropoda; Insecta; Hemiptera; Reduviidae
Description: 16S ribosomal RNA
Rfam family: Bacterial large subunit ribosomal RNA (bases 801-1195)
Source: RNAcentral
CUUAGUAGGAAUUUAAUUAAUUUUUGAAUUAAUUUGUUUUAAUAGAAAUAACUUUUAUUUUAGUAGAUUUUAUUGAAUAAAUUAUUAUUUUUAUAGUUGAUAGUACUGUGAAGGAUAAUUUCUUUUUAUAAAUAAAGUAGAAUUUAUUUUUUGUACCUUUUGUAUCAGGGUUAAUCAAUUUAUUUAACUUAGAGUUAUUUUCCCGAAAUGAAAAGAGAUAAGAAUUUAUGGAUUUAAUGUUUCAAAAUUAUUUGUAAUAGAUUCUUAGGAAUGAAAUGUUAUUCGUUUUUCAUAUAUCUGGUUUUCUUAGAAUUAAAUUUAAUUUAGGUCAUAUUUUAUAUUAAAAUAAUUUAUUAUUGGUUUAUGAAUUGUGACAAAUAUUUUUGGGGAUAAGCUCGGAAAUAAUUUUAUAACUUUUAUUUAUUAGAAUUAUUGUAGGCUUAGAAUCAGCCAUCAUUAAUUUCGUUAUAGAAUAUAUUUAUAAUUAUUUUAUUUAUUUAAUGUUUAAGUUUUUAUAAGAAUUAAUCAAUUAAUUUUUAAUUGAUUGUAAUAAUGAUUAAAUUAGUAUGUUAUUUAAUUAAAUUAUAGUAACUCGGCAAAUAUUGUACUCGCCUGUUUAACAAAAACAUGUCCUUUUGUAUUUAUAAAUAUAAGGUCUAACCUGCCCUAUGAUAUAUUAAAUGGCCGCGGUAUUUUAACUGUGCUAAGGUAGCAUAAUCACUUGUCUUUUAAUUAAAGGCUAGAAUGAAUGGUUGGACGAGGUACAAGCUUUCUUUAAUUUAAUUAAUUGAAUUUAAUUUUUUAGUUAAAAAGCUAAAAUUAAUUUGAGGGACGAGAAGACCCUAUAGAUCUUUAUAUAUUUAUUUAUUAUGUAUUUUAGUGAAUUAAUUAUUUUUAAUAAUUGAAUUUAUUUGGUUGGGGCGACUGUAGAAUAUGUUAAACUUCUAUUUUUAUUUAUUCAUAAAUUAGUGUUUUAUUGAUCCAGUUUUAUUGAUUAAAAUAUUAAGUUACCUUAGGGAUAACAGCGUAAUUUCUUUGGAGAGUUCUUAUCGAUAAAGUAGUUUGCGACCUCGAUGUUGGAUUAAAAUAAGUGGUAGGUGCAGAAGCUUACUAACUAGGUCUGUUCGACCUUUAAUUUUUUACAUGAUCUGAGUUCAGACCGGCGUGAGCCAGGUCAGUUUCUAUCUUCAAAUUUAUAAUCAGGACUUAGUACGAAAGGACCCGUUCUGAGGAAUAAUUUUUAAUUAUUUGAUUUCUAUA